GACGAACGCUGGCGGCAUGCCUAAUACAUGCAAGUCGAGCGAACAGAUGAAGUGCUUGCACUUCUGACGUUAGCGGCGAACGGGUGAGUAACACGUAAGGAAUCUACCUAUAAGCGGGGGAUAACAUUCGGAAACGGGUGCUAAUACCGCAUAAUAUCUUCUUCCGCAUGGAAGAAGAUUGAAAGACGGCUCUGCUGUCACUUAUAGAUGACCUUGCGGUGCAUUAGUUAGUUGGUGGGGUAACGGCCUACCAAGACGAUGAUGCAUAGCCGACCUGAGAGGGUGAUCGGCCACAUUGGGACUGAGACACGGCCCAAACUCCUACGGGAGGCAGCAGUAGGGAAUCUUCCGCAAUGGGCGAAAGCCUGACGGAGCAAUGCUGCGUGAGUGAAGAAGGCCUUCGGGCCGUAAAACUCUGUUAUAAGAGAAGAACAAAUUGUAGAGUAACUGCUACAGUCUUGACGGUAUCUUAUCAGAAAGCCACGGCUAACUACGUGCCAGCCGCCGCUGUAA
This 513-nucleotide ribosomal RNA is filed under the name uncultured bacterium. Its description in RNAcentral is "partial 16S ribosomal RNA". It matches the Rfam family "Bacterial small subunit ribosomal RNA", at positions 28 to 523 of the family's 1533-position model. The record is from RNAcentral.